UUUGGGCAUGUGACUGCAGAGGAGGCCUAACCAUCAGAACUUCAGCUGCGGUUCAUAAGUCUCCUUUUGCAGAACAGGAACUGUCUCCUGCCUGUCCCUAGUUGAAGCAAGUCAACUCUGUGAUCCCCCGAUUAAUGCUCCAUGAAGCAGCCGCCACGUCAACCGUCGGGACGAAGCGAUGAGGAGGAAAGAUGUACGGCAUUAAUCUGGACUCAGGUCACCUGGAAAGGAAGAUUAUACAUUCGCCGUGGGAUUAAGCAGCAGCUGCUGAAUCGUAAAGGAAGGGCCCGAUAAGCAAAUAUUAAUUCUGGCUGUAAUAAUAGGGGGAACAGAUUACUGAAGGAUAAAGCUGCUCGUUCGAACGGCUCCCCUGCUGCAAAAGCCCAUCCAGCAGGGAGUCAAUAUUCACUCCGCUGAGAAUGCUACAAUUAAGGCUGCAAAGGUUUCCUCUCGGUUUUCCCAUGUUUCGAAAAAGAUCUGCAGCGUUGCCUUGCAGGAGAAUAAAUUAACACACACAUA
Molecule: non-coding RNA, 519 nt
Organism: Pantherophis guttatus
Lineage: Eukaryota; Metazoa; Chordata; Lepidosauria; Squamata; Colubridae
Source: RefSeq, a predicted model, not a curated record